This 1312-nucleotide ribosomal RNA is filed under the name Bacillus amyloliquefaciens. RNAcentral's name for it is "bacterial SSU rRNA". It matches the Rfam family "Bacterial small subunit ribosomal RNA", at positions 100 to 1399 of the family's 1533-position model. RNAcentral also lists the same sequence under 1 other name. The record is from RNAcentral. Lineage: Bacteria; Bacillati; Bacillota; Bacilli; Caryophanales; Bacillaceae.
GAGGGGUGAGUAACACGUGGGUAACCUGCCUGUAAGACUGGGAUAACUCCGGGAAACCGGGGCUAAUACCGGAUGGUUGUUUGAACCGCAUGGUUCAGACAUAAAAGGUGGCUUCGGCUACCACUUACAGAUGGACCCGCGGCGCAUUAGCUAGUUGGUGAGGUAACGGCUCACCAAGGCGACGAUGCGUAGCCGACCUGAGAGGGUGAUCGGCCACACUGGGACUGAGACACGGCCCAGACUCCUACGGGAGGCAGCAGUAGGGAAUCUUCCGCAAUGGACGAAAGUCUGACGGAGCAACGCCGCGUGAGUGAUGAAGGUUUUCGGAUCGUAAAGCUCUGUUGUUAGGGAAGAACAAGUGCCGUUCAAAUAGGGCGGCACCUUGACGGUACCUAACCAGAAAGCCACGGCUAACUACGUGCCAGCAGCCGCGGUAAUACGUAGGUGGCAAGCGUUGUCCGGAAUUAUUGGGCGUAAAGGGCUCGCAGGCGGUUUCUUAAGUCUGAUGUGAAAGCCCCCGGCUCAACCGGGGAGGGUCAUUGGAAACUGGGGAACUUGAGUGCAGAAGAGGAGAGUGGAAUUCCACGUGUAGCGGUGAAAUGCGUAGAGAUGUGGAGGAACACCAGUGGCGAAGGCGACUCUCUGGUCUGUAACUGACGCUGAGGAGCGAAAGCGUGGGGAGCGAACAGGAUUAGAUACCCUGGUAGUCCACGCCGUAAACGAUGAGUGCUAAGUGUUAGGGGGUUUCCGCCCCUUAGUGCUGCAGCUAACGCAUUAAGCACUCCGCCUGGGGAGUACGGUCGCAAGACUGAAACUCAAAGGAAUUGACGGGGGCCCGCACAAGCGGUGGAGCAUGUGGUUUAAUUCGAAGCAACGCGAAGAACCUUACCAGGUCUUGACAUCCUCUGACAAUCCUAGAGAUAGGACGUCCCCUUCGGGGGCAGAGUGACAGGUGGUGCAUGGUUGUCGUCAGCUCGUGUCGUGAGAUGUUGGGUUAAGUCCCGCAACGAGCGCAACCCUUGAUCUUAGUUGCCAGCAUUCAGUUGGGCACUCUAAGGUGACUGCCGGUGACAAACCGGAGGAAGGUGGGGAUGACGUCAAAUCAUCAUGCCCCUUAUGACCUGGGCUACACACGUGCUACAAUGGACAGAACAAAGGGCAGCGAAACCGCGAGGUUAAGCCAAUCCCACAAAUCUGUUCUCAGUUCGGAUCGCAGUCUGCAACUCGACUGCGUGAAGCUGGAAUCGCUAGUAAUCGCGGAUCAGCAUGCCGCGGUGAAUGUAAUCCCUGGCGUUUUACCCUGGGUCAGUAA